This 659-nucleotide ribosomal RNA is filed under the name Fusarium sp. RNAcentral describes it as "SSU rRNA". It matches the Rfam family "Eukaryotic small subunit ribosomal RNA", at positions 87 to 752 of the family's 1831-position model. The record is from RNAcentral. Lineage: Eukaryota; Fungi; Ascomycota; Sordariomycetes; Hypocreales; Nectriaceae.
CUGCGAAUGGCUCAUUAUAUAAGUUAUCGUUUAUUUGAUAAUACCUUACUACUUGGAUAACCGUGGUAAUUCUAGAGCUAAUACAUGCUAAAAAUCCCGACUUCGGAAGGGAUGUAUUUAUUAGAUUAAAAACCAAUGCCCUUCGGGGCUCACUGGUGAUUCAUGAUAACUCCUCGAAUCGCAUGGCCUUGCGCCGGCGAUGGUUCAUUCAAAUUUCUUCCCUAUCAACUUUCGAUGUUUGGGUAUUGGCCAAACAUGGUUGCAACGGGUAACGGAGGGUUAGGGCUCGACCCCGGAGAAGGAGCCUGAGAAACGGCUACUACAUCCAAGGAAGGCAGCAGGCGCGCAAAUUACCCAAUCCCGACACGGGGAGGUAGUGACAAUAAAUACUGAUACAGGGCUCUUUUGGGUCUUGUAAUUGGAAUGAGUACAAUUUAAAUCCCUUAACGAGGAACAAUUGGAGGGCAAGUCUGGUGCCAGCAGCCGCGGUAAUUCCAGCUCCAAUAGCGUAUAUUAAAGUUGUUGUGGUUAAAAAGCUCGUAGUUGAACCUUGGGCCUGGCUGGCCGGUCCGCCUCACCGCGUGUACUGGUCCGGCCGGGCCUUUCCCUCUGUGGAACCCCAUGCCCUUCACUGGGUGUGGCGGGGAAACAGGACUUUU